RNAcentral lists this non-coding RNA (90 nucleotides) under Stygamoeba regulata. Lineage: Eukaryota; Discosea; Stygamoebida. The record is from RNAcentral.
ACCGGAAUCAAGGAAUCCAAGUCACUUUUAUAAUAGAUCCAUUGUUUUUGUUUGCAUUUUCCAUACCAACAAAAAAAAAAAAAAAAAAAA